Molecule: long non-coding RNA, 1338 nt
Organism: Papaver somniferum (opium poppy)
Lineage: Eukaryota; Viridiplantae; Streptophyta; Magnoliopsida; Ranunculales; Papaveraceae
Exons: 7
Source: RefSeq, a predicted model, not a curated record
UUUUCUUCCCUCUCCCGUUUCUCUUUCCCCACGAUCUCCAAACCUCGCCUUUCUCGAGUAAACGAAAACCCUAACUCAGUCACAACUAUAACCACCUUUACUUCCAGAACGAACACAGAAGAAUCCCCGAUCUUUUUCUUCUCAUAUAUGGAUGUUUUUGGUAACAAAAUCGACUUCAUCUGAAAUCGCUCAUCUCUUGUGUAAAAAAAUCACUCUUCUCUUUGUCUAAGCUAUCGACUUCAUCUGAAAUCGGUCAAGGGUUUGUUCAAGUCACUGUGUUUUCAUUACUCUUUCUCUAACAGAUGAAGAUUGAUGAACAAGAUGAAGGAUGCUGGAACUUCUAAAAGAACAUGCAGUCAUGGAGAAGAUUAAAGAAGCACACAGGAGAGUGAUGGUGGCUAACCAUCCUCACAAGGGUGGGAGCAUGUAUCUUGCUAAAAAGAUCAACGGGGCUAAGUGUCGAUUUCAAUUCUUUCCAUGUGAAGCUAGGGUUUGCUGUUAGGAUUGACAGAUGCUGAUGAUCCUAUUCCCAGAUCUAGUAAUGGCUUGUCUGAAGAAAUUUCUUUUAAGAUUCUGAAACAGGUUGUCGAGGUGGAGCAAGCAGCCAUGUGGAAGUUUCUUUGGUGGUCGGGAAUCAUAACUGUCCAUGUUAUGGUUGGCCAAAACAUAGAUGAUCACUCGAUAUAUACGCAUGAGCAAUAGAAGUUUAUGAACUGUAAUUUUCGUGUUUCAGAAACUUUUCUCCAGCACUUCCUCCUCAAGCCUUUGUCUUUUAUUUCCUUCUUGGUUUGCGGGAUGAGUUCAGCUUGUUGAUGUACUUUAUGCUGAGUGUUUGCAUUUGUCUCUUUGUGAAGGAAGGACUCAUGCUGGUUGUUGCAACAAUCUGACAAGAUAUAUGCUGGAGCAUUUUGACAGUGAUUCAGUGAUUCGAAUUACAGUUUGAUUCUUCACAAGACUAAACUUUGUGCUCCUGCACUUGCUCCAUUCAAGGCUUGUUACGAAGGAAACUUUUGGGGUGCCAAAAUAAUCCCAAGCACAACAUGAAAUGCUUAACAUGCUGAAUCCAAGGCUCUUCUUGUAGCCACACUAUGGAUUAACGAGCUGGAACUGCAGUUUACUUCAAAGGGGACUGAAUCAUUCUGAAGAUGUAUGCUAUGCUAUCCAGUGUUCAAAUCACCAUAGUUAACUAUUGCUGUUAUAGUGGUCUAUGUCAAGUUUUCUAGAUUUUUGGUGUAGUUAGUGUCAGUAUUAUUCGAAAAAAAUAUUGUCUUUAGGUUUCUGUUAGUAUUAUUUUGUAACAUUUGAUAAGGUCUUAUUUGGAAUAAAAUUUCUGUUAAU